Non-coding RNA from Prunus mume (Japanese apricot), 1034 nucleotides. NCBI's taxonomy places the organism in Eukaryota, Viridiplantae, Streptophyta, Magnoliopsida, Rosales, Rosaceae. The record is from RefSeq and is a predicted model, not a curated record.
UUUGAAGCCUCAAGCCCCUCUCUUGCUUCAAACCACCAUCUCUCCUCUGUUCUCUCCCUUCUUCCCUCUCUAUGCCUUCAAAGUAAACCAAACAGUCUCAAAGCCAUGGACCAACACAAGACCGACGACAAUCUCCGUUACGUAGGUGGCCUCACACGUGUUCUCGCCGCUGAUGCCUCCAUUUCCUUUGCAGAUCUGUCCUGUGUUCCCAAUUUUCAACUCGGAUCUCUUGUUCGCAGAUGCCGACGACGAUGAUUUUUCCAUAGCCAAAGGGGUUGCCGAUUCCUCUUCCUCUCUACGGCCGCCAUUGAAGAAGUUCUUCUUUGAAGAGCGGGAUACGCCGAACUCAUCAACACCUUUUACAGCAGCAAGGAGAUCUUUCUCUGUGAGCUCAUCAGUGACGUCUCUGAUUCGUGAUAGGCAUAUUUGCUUUGGUUGCUUUGGUCAUACAAGUACGCGGAUCUCUUUAAGGAAAAGCUUGAGAUUUGUCUUGACAAGGAAGAUGAAAUGGACUAUCUUGUGGCUGGAUCAAAUUUUCUGCUUAAGGUGGGAUCCUAAUACCGCAUACAUAGAUUGGCAGUUCACACCAAAGCAUUCACAUACAUAGAUGGUCAUAAGGAAUUUGUGCAUAUUGACCAUGAUGAUCUAUAUCCCUAUAUGCUUGUUAAUAUUGGUUCUGGUGUCAGUAUGAUCAAGGUAGAUGGACCUGGUAAGUUUGAGCAAGAGGAACCAAUGUUGGUGGUGGCACCUUAUGGGGUUUGCAACAGGCCAAUUUUGGCUUUUUGGGUGGUUGCGGGUCUAAUAUAUGACUUUUGUAAAUUUCAACAAGUUGGUAUUUCCUUUUGCCUUUGCGAUUGUAUCUGGUGGACAAUUGGAGGUGGCAGCAAAGGAUAUCGAAUCUCUUGUUAGGGUUUUUUGGAUUUUUUUGUAUGAAAUGGUAUUUACAAUGUUUUUCUAUGAAAUUGUAUUAAGAAUGUUUUUCUAUGAAAUUGUAUUAACAAUAUACUUCUAUAGCAUGGUAUUAACAAUAUACU